AACUUCCAAUUCAUUUUAACAUAAUCCGAUCUUUAACAAAAAGGAAAGACAGAUGGCAAAAACAUACUACUCCUCGUAGGGUCAAAAACCAGCCACCACACAAAACCUCCAUUGGUAAAACCGGAAACAAAACAACCCCGAAAACAAUGUAUCUAAACUUGACACCACCACCCACCGGAGGAACCACAACAGCUUUAUCAACACAAACACUACACCCUCCUAAAUUCACGCACCCUAAUCCUCCCCUUUUCUCCAACCGUCGUCCCAAAUUCUUAUCCACGUCAUCAUCUAAUCAUAAUAAUCUACUGAAAAGUGUCAUUGUGAAUGCUGACGUCACCAAUAAAUCAAAAGCCUCCACUGGUUUUCAGGAUUCUAAUGAUGAGCAGCAGCGAAUAUCUGUUGUUAGUCAAGAAAAUGUCCCUCUCGAAGGUGUUAUUCAGUUUGAAAAACCCGAUACUACUUCUCGCUUUAGAAAAUGGGGUCACGUGGCUUUACUUUCCGGUGGAGAUGUAUUGGCAAUACUUAUGUUCUCAGCAAUAGGAAGGUUUAGUCAUGGAUUCUCUGUUUUUGAUGUGGAAACCCUUCGAACUGCUGACCCCUUUAUUGCUGGGUGGGUUUUAAGUGCUUAUUUCCUUGGUGGUUAUGGAGAUGAUGGACGGGGUGUGAAUGGUAAGACCAACGCCAUUACUGCUGCUGUUAAAUCCUGGGCAUUGGGCAUACCUUUGGGAAUAUUUAUAAGGGCCACAAGUAUGGGUCACAUUCCUCCGACCAGAUUUAUUGCGGUUACAAUGGGUAGCACUGCUCUGCUGCUUAUAGGAUGGAGAGCACUGAUAUCUAACAUUCUAGCUGAUGAUAAGAGCAAGAAGAACGACAUGUACAAGCGUGGCAGUCCUUUUGAGCUGUUUGAGUUGCUCACAUCAUUGGUACGAAGAUGGUGAGAUAUGCUCCUCAGUCUACUGUAAUUGUUCUUGUACCAAACCUAUCGAUACAUAUUCAUGUUUUUUAGUGUCUUAAAUGGAAGUUGACAAGGCUAAGACCCAUCUGAUACAAGCAGGGUAUAUGGGCGUUAGUUUUGAGUCCAUAUUGUUGCACAUCUUUUGUUACAAUUGUUCAAGUCAUCAUAUUCCUCUCAAGGCAUUUAAGCUUCAAACUAUCAACAUUGUCUUCGGCAUCUUCGGUACGAGUAAUGUAUGGGGUCUUUGCCGAUAGGUUUAUAUACAACUAGAGUUGUCAACUUGGCGCUUGCAAGAUCUUGUGGUUGAUCUGAAUAGCGUUUAGACUUUAGUCGUAUUCAUUUCCUACUUCCCUGUAAAGACCGGGAUUUAACUAAGGACAUUUUAAGGCCUGCGAGGCCCAGUGGAUCCUAAUUGGAUUCGGCCUUUUCUUUCUAUGUUAUGAUUAAAAUUUUAUUGUCUUCUGUUUAA
This is an RNA transcript of Erigeron canadensis, 1424 nucleotides long. RefSeq lists it as uncharacterized. NCBI's taxonomy places the organism in Eukaryota, Viridiplantae, Streptophyta, Magnoliopsida, Asterales, Asteraceae. The transcript has 6 exons. The record is from RefSeq and is a predicted model, not a curated record.